GACGAACGCUGGCGGCGUGCUUAACACAUGCAAGUCGAACGGAAAGGCCCUGCUUUUGUGGGGUGCUCGAGUGGCGAACGGGUGAGUAACACGUGAGUAACCUGCCCUUGACUUUGGGAUAACUUCAGGAAACUGGGGCUAAUACCGGAUAGGAGCUCCUGCUGCAUGGUGGGGGUUGGAAAGUUUCGGCGGUUGGGGAUGGACUCGCGGCUUAUCAGCUUGUUGGUGGGGUAGUGGCUUACCAAGGCUUUGACGGGUAGCCGGCCUGAGAGGGUGACCGGCCACAUUGGGACUGAGAUACGGCCCAGACUCCUACGGGAGGCAGCAGUGGGGAAUAUUGCACAAUGGGCGGAGGCCUGAUGCAGCAACGCCGCGUGCGGGAUGACGGCCUUCGGGUUGUAAACCGCUUUCACCUGUGACGAAGCGUGAGUGACGGUAAUGGGUAAAGAAGCACCGGCUAACUACGUG
This 468-nucleotide ribosomal RNA is filed under the name uncultured bacterium. RNAcentral describes it as "partial 16S ribosomal RNA". It matches the Rfam family "Bacterial small subunit ribosomal RNA", at positions 28 to 507 of the family's 1533-position model. The record is from RNAcentral.